RNAcentral lists this ribosomal RNA (253 nucleotides) under uncultured bacterium. RNAcentral describes it as "partial 16S ribosomal RNA". It matches the Rfam family "Bacterial small subunit ribosomal RNA", at positions 524 to 776 of the family's 1533-position model. The record is from RNAcentral.
UACGUAGGGUGCAAGCGUUAUUCGGAAUUACUGGGCGUAAAGCGUGCGCAGGCGGUGAUGUAAGACAGUUGUGAAAUCCCCGGGCUUAACCUGGGAACUGCAUCUGUGACUGCAUCGCUGGAGUGCGGCAGAGGGGGAUGGAAUUCCGCGUGUAGCAGUGAAAUGCGUAGAUAUGCGGAGGAACACCGAUGGCGAAGGCAAUCCCCUGGGCCUGCACUGACGCUCAUGCACGAAAGCGUGGGGAGCAAACAGG